Molecule: ribosomal RNA, 355 nt
Filed under: uncultured bacterium
Lineage: Bacteria
Description: bacterial SSU rRNA
Rfam family: Bacterial small subunit ribosomal RNA
Source: RNAcentral
AACGAACGCUGGCGGCAUGCCUAACACAUGCAAGUCGAACGCUCCGCGAAGGGGAGUGGCGAACGGGUGAGUAACGCGUGGGAACCUGCCCAGUAGUUGGGGAUAACCGCGGGAAACUGCGGCUAAUACCGAAUACGCCCUAAGGGGGAAAGAUUUAUCGCUAUUGGAGGGGCCCGCGUCGGAUUAGCUGGUUGGUGAGGUAACGGCUCACCAAGGCGACGAUCCGUAGCUGGUCUGAGAGGAUGAUCAGCCACACUGGGACUUAGACACGGCCCAGACUCCUACGGGAGGCAGCAGUGGGGAAUAUUGGACAAUGGGGGCAACCCUGAUCCAGCAAUGCCGCGUGAGUGAUGAA